AUAUAUAUAUAUAUAUAUAUAUAACAUAGAAUCUGUAUUCCAGUUUGGUGGGAUAUCUUACCCAAAGCCACGUGGCUGUCUUGUGACAGAUACCGUAGUAGAAUUCAAGUUGUCUGGCUCCUAGGCCGGAUUCAUUCACUGUGCUAGGUGUUGGGUCUUUUAUUUUGUUAUUCUUCUUUUGAUCGGAUUUCUCUCAUGCCAUGUGUUGAUAAAGCCGGAAGUCUGAGAUGGUCUGUUUUCAAGAAACUAAGUUCUAAAUGUAGAGCUGCUUGUUGUUGUUGUCGGUGGUGGUGUAUGCAUUCAAUUUGAAGGAAAAUUUACCAGGUCAAUAAUACACACGUUUCCACACAUUUUUAAAGCAAUCAGUGAGCUGGCCUUUUAAAAUUUCAUCUGCGUUAAAACAUCCCUCUGCCGAGGCAAGGAAGUGGACAUUGAGGUAUUAAGCCUGUCCUUCAGCCAAGCACUGAGGGCCCAAGUGUUAGAAUUAAAGGAAAAAAAAUUUCCCAUUGUAUUAAUAUAUUUACAAAAGAAAAGUCAUAAAUAAAAGCAGUGGCCAUGCCUCCAUUC
RNAcentral lists this long non-coding RNA (567 nucleotides) under Homo sapiens (human). RNAcentral describes it as "HSALNT0133689". Lineage: Eukaryota; Metazoa; Chordata; Mammalia; Primates; Hominidae. The record is from RNAcentral.